RNAcentral lists this ribosomal RNA (597 nucleotides) under Trichosporon insectorum. Its description in RNAcentral is "partial large subunit ribosomal RNA". It matches the Rfam family "Eukaryotic large subunit ribosomal RNA", at positions 62 to 648 of the family's 3401-position model. The record is from RNAcentral. Lineage: Eukaryota; Fungi; Basidiomycota; Tremellomycetes; Trichosporonales; Trichosporonaceae.
AAACUAACAAGGAUUCCCCUAGUAACGGCGAGUGAAGCGGGAAGAGCUCAAAUUUGAAAUCUGGCAGUCUUCGAUUGUCCGAGUUGUAAUCUAUAGAGGCGUUUUCCGUGCCGGACCGUGUCCAAGUCUCCUGGAAAGGAGUAUCAAAGAGGGUGAUAAUCCCGUACUUAACACGACCACCGGUGCUCUGUGAUACGUCUUCUACGAGUCGAGUUGUUUGGGAAUGCAGCUCAAAAUGGGUGGUGAAUUCCAUCUAAAGCUAAAUAUUGGCGAGAGACCGAUAGCGAACAAGUACCGUGAGGGAAAGAUGAAAAGCACUUUGGAAAGAGAGUUAAACAGUACGUGAAAUUGUUGAAAGGGAAACGAUUGAAGUCAGUCGUGUUCUUUGGAUUCAGCCAGUUCUGCUGGUCUACUUCCUUUGAACGGGUCAACAUCAGUUUUGUCCGGUGGAUAAAGGUAGUAGGAAUGUGACUUCUCCGGAAGUGUUAUAGCCUAUUAUCACAUACACUGGGUGAGACUGAGGACUGCAGCUCGCCUUUAUGGCCGACCUUCGGGUACGUUCGAGCUUAGGAUGUUGACAUAAUGGCUUUAAACGAC